This 1144-nucleotide ribosomal RNA is filed under the name Citrobacter freundii. Its description in RNAcentral is "partial 23S ribosomal RNA". It matches the Rfam family "Bacterial large subunit ribosomal RNA", at positions 1526 to 2646 of the family's 2925-position model. Lineage: Bacteria; Pseudomonadati; Pseudomonadota; Gammaproteobacteria; Enterobacterales; Enterobacteriaceae. The record is from RNAcentral.
GAGGUUCCAGGUAAAUCCGGUACCUUUUUAACGCUGAGGUGUGAUGACGAGGCACUACGGUGCUGAAGUAACAAAUGCCCUGCUUCCAGGAAAAGCCUCUAAGCAUCAGGUAACACGAAAUCGUACCCCAAACCGACACAGGUGGUCAGGUAGAGAAUACCAAGGCGCUUGAGAGAACUCGGGUGAAGGAACUAGGCAAAAUGGUGCCGUAACUUCGGGAGAAGGCACGCUGAUAUGUAGGUGAAGUGAUUUACUCAUGGAGCUGAAAUCAGUCGAAGAUACCAGCUGGCUGCAACUGUUUAUUAAAAACACAGCACUGUGCAAACACGAAAGUGGACGUAUACGGUGUGACGCCUGCCCGGUGCCGGAAGGUUAAUUGAUGGGGUUAUCCGUAAGGAGAAGCUCUUGAUCGAAGCCCCGGUAAACGGCGGCCGUAACUAUAACGGUCCUAAGGUAGCGAAAUUCCUUGUCGGGUAAGUUCCGACCUGCACGAAUGGCGUAAUGAUGGCCAGGCUGUCUCCACCCGAGACUCAGUGAAAUUGAACUCGCUGUGAAGAUGCAGUGUACCCGCGGCAAGACGGAAAGACCCCGUGAACCUUUACUAUAGCUUGACACUGAACACUGGUCCUUGAUGUGUAGGAUAGGUGGGAGGCUUUGAAGUGUGGACGCCAGUCUGCAUGGAGCCAUCCUUGAAAUACCACCCUUUAAUGGCUGGUGUUCUAACGUGGACCCGUGAUCCGGGUUGCGGACAGUGUCUGGUGGGUAGUUUGACUGGGGCGGUCUCCUCCUAAAGAGUAACGGAGGAGCACGAAGGUUAGCUAAUCCUGGUCGGACAUCAGGAGGUUAGUGCAAAGGCAUAAGCUAGCUUGACUGCGAGAGUGACGGCUCGAGCAGGUGCGAAAGCAGGUCUUAGUGAUCCGGUGGUUCUGAAUGGAAGGGCCAUCGCUCAACGGAUAAAAGGUACUCCGGGGAUAACAGGCUGAUACCGCCCAAGAGUUCAUAUCGACGGCGGUGUUUGGCACCUCGAUGUCGGCUCAUCACAUCCUGGGGCUGAAGUAGGUCCCAAGGGUAUGGCUGUUCGCCAUUUAAAGUGGUACGCGAGCUGGGUUUAGAACGUCGUGAGACAGUUCGGUCCCUAUCUGCC